Molecule: non-coding RNA, 363 nt
Organism: Paramuricea clavata
Lineage: Eukaryota; Metazoa; Cnidaria; Anthozoa; Malacalcyonacea; Plexauridae
Source: the annotation of a GenBank genome assembly
CAUUAAUACACUGUAAAUUUCAAGCAAUUUAAUCAACUCCAAAAGUGUUACUCCUAAUCAGAGCUCCUAAUAAUAUAUACUUUUGGAGUUGAUUCAACUUUUUGAAAUUUACAACUGUGCUGCAUGCAGUGCCGUAACCAGCCCAACUCCGGUGAGGACUCCAUAACAGACACCUAUACUUCAGAAGCAGACAAUGACGGUGCAUAUUGGUAUGAUGUUAUACUGCCUAAACCAGUAUCACUACUGCCAGGGGAAGACGUUACAAUAGUUGCGACAAUAACAGGACCUGCAGAGUCUUAAGGCCGGUGCAAUUUUUCUUGCAACUUGCAAUGCAAUUCUACUCUUGAGAGAUGUCAAUUAGUG